UUACAACCACACCACGUUGAACCAUCGGUUCCCGUACGAUCACCGAAGUUAAGCAACGUCGAGCCUGGUCAGUACUUAGAUGGGAAUACGAGGUGCCGUA
Non-coding RNA from Acanthosepion pharaonis, 100 nucleotides. The record is from the annotation of a GenBank genome assembly. NCBI's taxonomy places the organism in Eukaryota, Metazoa, Mollusca, Cephalopoda, Sepiida, Sepiidae.